RNAcentral lists this ribosomal RNA (1093 nucleotides) under Sulfurimonas sp. Its description in RNAcentral is "bacterial SSU rRNA". It matches the Rfam family "Bacterial small subunit ribosomal RNA", at positions 8 to 1116 of the family's 1533-position model. The record is from RNAcentral. Lineage: Bacteria; Pseudomonadati; Campylobacterota; Epsilonproteobacteria; Campylobacterales; Sulfurimonadaceae.
AGAGUUUGAUCCUGGCUCAGAGUGAACGCUGGCGGCGUGCUUAACACAUGCAAGUCGAACGAUGAAGAAGAGCUUGCUCUUUGGAUUAGUGGCGCACGGGUGAGUAAUAUAUAGUUAAUGUACCUUCAAGACCGGGAUAGCCAUUGGAAACGAUGAUUAAUACUGGAUAUACCUUCUCUACUUAAGUAGAGUCGGGAAACGUUUUUUCGCUUGAAGAUCAGACUAUAUCCCAUCAGCUUGUUGGUGAGGUAAGAGCUCACCAAGGCAAUGACGGGUAGCGGGUUUGAGAGGAUGAUCCGCCACACUGGUACUGAGACACGAACCAGACUCCUACGGGAGGCAGCAGUGAGGAAUAUUGCACAAUGGGGGAAACCCUGAUGCAGCAACGCCGCGUGGAGGAUGACGCAUUUCGGUGUGUAAACUCCUUUUAUGAGUCAAGAAAAUGACGGUAGCUCAUGAAUAAGCACCGGCUAACUCCGUGCCAGCAGCCGCGGUAAUACGGAGGGUGCAAGCGUUACUCGGAAUCACUGGGCGUAAAGGACGCGUAGGCGGGUUGGUAAGUCAGAUGUGAAAUCCUACAGCUCAACUGUAGAACUGCAUUUGAAGCUACUAACCUAGAGUAUGGGAGGGGGAGAUGGAAUUAGUGGUGUAGGGGGUAAAAUCCGUAGAUAUCACUAGGAAUACCUAAAGCGAAGGCGAUCUCCUGGAACAUUACUGACGCUAAGGCGUGAAAGCGUGGGGAGCAAACGGGAUUAGAUACCCCGGUAGUCCACGCCCUAAACGAUGAACACUAGUCGUCGGGAUGCUUGUCAUCUCGGUGAUGCACUUAACAGAUUAAGUGUUCCGCCUGGGGAGUACGGUCGCAAGAUUAAAACUCAAAGGAAUAGACGGGGACCCGCACAAGUGGUGGAGCAUGUGGUUUAAUUCGAAGAUACGCGAAGAACCUUACCUAGCCUUGACAUUGAUAGAACACACCAGAGAUGGAGUGGUGCCCUUCGGGGAACUUGAAAACAGGUGCUGCACGGCUGUCGUCAGCUCGUGUCGUGAGAUGUUGGGUUAAAUCCCGCAACGAGCGCAACCCUCGUCCUUAGUU